Molecule: non-coding RNA, 1624 nt
Filed under: Saccharomyces cerevisiae (brewer's yeast)
Lineage: Eukaryota; Fungi; Ascomycota; Saccharomycetes; Saccharomycetales; Saccharomycetaceae
Description: small subunit ribosomal RNA
Rfam family: Bacterial small subunit ribosomal RNA
Source: RNAcentral
AUUUAUAAGAAUAUGAUGUUGGUUCAGAUUAAGCGCUAAAUAAGGACAUGACACAUGCGAAUCAUACGUUUAUUAUUGAUAAGAUAAUAAAUAUGUGGUGUAAACGUGAGUAAUUUUAUUAGGAAUUAAUGAACUAUAGAAUAAGCUAAAUACUUAAUAUAUUAUUAUAUAAAAAUAAUUUAUAUAAUAAAAAGGAUAUAUAUAUAAUAUAUAUUUAUCUAUAGUCAAGCCAAUAAUGGUUUAGGUAGUAGGUUUAUUAAGAGUUAAACCUAGCCAACGAUCCAUAAUCGAUAAUGAAAGUUAGAACGAUCACGUUGACUCUGAAAUAUAGUCAAUAUCUAUAAGAUACAGCAGUGAGGAAUAUUGGACAAUGAUCGAAAGAUUGAUCCAGUUACUUAUUAGGAUGAUAUAUAAAAAUAUUUUAUUUUAUUUAUAAAUAUUAAAUAUUUAUAAUAAUAAUAAUAAUAAUAUAUAUAUAUAAAUUGAUUAAAAAUAAAAUCCAUAAAUAAUUAAAAUAAUGAUAUUAAUUACCAUAUAUAUUUUAUAUGGAUAUAUAUAUUAAUAAUAAUAUUAAUUUAUUAUUAUUAAUAAUAUAUUUUAAUAGUCCUGACUAAUAUUUGUGCCAGCAGUCGCGGUAACACAAAGAGGGCGAGCGUUAAUCAUAAUGGUUUAAAGGAUCCGUAGAAUGAAUUAUAUAUUAUAAUUUAGAGUUAAUAAAAUUAAUUAAAGAAUUAUAAUAGUAAAGAUGAAAUAAUAAUAAUAAUUAUAAGACUAAUAUAUGUGAAAAUAUUAAUUAAAUAUUAACUGACAUUGAGGGAUUAAAACUAGAGUAGCGAAACGGAUUCGAUACCCGUGUAGUUCUAGUAGUAAACUAUGAAUACAAUUAUUUAUAAUAUAUAUUAUAUAUAAAUAAUAAAUGAAAAUGAAAGUAUUCCACCUGAAGAGUACGUUAGCAAUAAUGAAACUCAAAACAAUAGACGGUUACAGACUUAAGCAGUGGAGCAUGUUAUUUAAUUCGAUAAUCCACGACUAACCUUACCAUAUUUUGAAUAUUAUAAUAAUUAUUAUAAUUAUUAUAUUACAGGCGUUACAUUGUUGUCUUUAGUUCGUGCUGCAAAGUUUUAGAUUAAGUUCAUAAACGAACAAAACUCCAUAUAUAUAAUUUUAAUUAUAUAUAAUUUUAUAUUAUUUAUUAAUAUAAAGAAAGGAAUUAAGACAAAUCAUAAUGAUCCUUAUAAUAUGGGUAAUAGACGUGCUAUAAUAAAAUGAUAAUAAAAUUAUAUAAAAUAUAUUUAAUUAUAUUUAAUUAAUAAUAUAAAACAUUUUAAUUUUUAAUAUAUUUUUUUAUUAUAUAUUAAUAUGAAUUAUAAUCUGAAAUUCGAUUAUAUGAAAAAAGAAUUGCUAGUAAUACGUAAAUUAGUAUGUUACGGUGAAUAUUCUAACUGUUUCGCACUAAUCACUCAUCACGCGUUGAAACAUAUUAUUAUCUUAUUAUUUAUAUAAUAUUUUUUAAUAAAUAUUAAUAAUUAUUAAUUUAUAUUUAUUUAUAUCAGAAAUAAUAUGAAUUAAUGCGAAGUUGAAAUACAGUUACCGUAGGGGAACCUGCGGUGGGCUUAUAAAUAUC